GUUGAAACAUUUGUUCCCGUACGAUCACCGAAGUUAAACAACGCUGAGCCUGGCCAGUACCUAGAUGGGUGACCGUUGGGAAUACCAGGUGCUAU
RNAcentral lists this ribosomal RNA (95 nucleotides) under Acanthosepion pharaonis. Lineage: Eukaryota; Metazoa; Mollusca; Cephalopoda; Sepiida; Sepiidae. The record is from RNAcentral.